CGCGCGAGCAGCGGCGCGUGGCGACCCGCGCACGUGCCCGCCCCCGCGCGGCGCGAGGGGAAGGCGGAGGCGGGGCCGGGGCAGCGCCCGCCGCGGGAGGGGCGGCGGCACCGGCGGGGCGGCCCCGGCGCGGCCAGCGGCGAGCGGGCGGCCGAGGGCGCGGAGCGGCGAGCCCGGCAUCCCGCGCAGCCCGCCCGGCGCGCCCGCGGCGAUGGAGCAGGACAAGUACCUGCCCGAGCUGAUGGCCGAGAAGGACAGCCUGGAUCCCUGCUUUGUUCACGCGAUGCGCCUCCUGGAAGACGAAAUGGAAAAAUUUCAGGGUUCCGAAGGCAAGAAGGAAGAUGAAGAAAAGAAAUACCUUGAUGUUAUCAGUAACAAAAACAUAAAGCUGUCAGAGAGGGUUUUGAUCCCUGUCAAACAAUAUCCAAAGUUCAAUUUUGUUGGGAAAUUGCUUGGACCAAGAGGAAACUCUUUAAAGAGGUUACAAGAAGAAACAGGUGCAAAAAUGUCCAUCCUGGGAAAAGGAUCCAUGAGGGAUAAAGCUAAGGAGGAAGAACUAAGGAAAAGUGGAGAAGCCAAAUACGCCCACUUGAGUGAUGAGCUCCAUGUAUUAAUUGAAGUGUUUGCUCCACCUGGGGAGGCGUAUUCUCGUAUGAGUCAUGCCUUGGAAGAAAUAAAAAAAUUCCUGGUUCCUGAUUAUAAUGAUGAAAUUCGCCAGGAGCAGCUGAGAGAACUUUCGUACUUGAACGGUUCUGAGGAUUCAUCGCGUGGACGGGGCAUUCGAGGAAGAGGGAUCCGUGUGCCACCUGCAGCUCCUUCAAGGGGCCGUGGGGGUGCCAUUCCUCCCCCGCUGCCUGGCCGAGGUGCCCAAGCCCCCCGAGGAGCGCCGGUGACACGCGGAGCGCUCCCCGUGCCUCCGGUGGCCAGGGGCGUCCCCACCCCUCGGGCCCGGGGCGCCCCGUCCGUGCCGGGUUACAGGCCGCCCCCGCCGCCCGCACACGAGGCCUACGAGGACUACGGAUACGAUGAUGGAUAUGGGGGUGAAUAUGAUGAUCCAAGCUAUGAGGCAUAUGAUAAUAGUUAUGCCACCCAAACACAAAGUGUGCCUGAAUAUUACGACUAUGGUCACGGAACAAGUGAAGAGGCUUAUGAGAGCUACGCACAAGAAGAAUGGGCCACGACCCGUUCCAGCCUAAAGGCACCACCUCCAAGGUCAGCCAGAGGGGGAUACAGGGAACACCCCUAUGGUAGAUAUUGAAGGUCCUCCUCAUCUGUGACCUCAUCUCAAAGACAAUUAAUAGCCUGUGGUCUCCACAUAAACAGCAACAAGACAAGGACUCACAGGCACUGGACAGCUAAGCAGCAGAUCUGCUGGCAAGUGGUCAGAUUUUUGGAGCCUUAGGGAAGUACUGUACCUUUUGAAUGGUGUUCAGGGAACUGAGAGUGCUCAACAUCAUUUGCAAUAAAUCACUUGCUUCCGAAGGACAGCCUCAGGUUGGGACUCUCCACAGCCCUCAGUUCUGGACCUGCCAUUACCACCCUCUCUAAAAUAUGCUACCACUCAGAGUUACAGUGAUCUUCCAGUCUGUCAGGUAGAAUUAAAUGUUGGAAAAUACUCAGCCUAAGCUAAUAGACAUAAGACACUACGGACCAUACCAGCAAUGAUGAAAGCUCUCAGUGACUCGCAGUCCUUACUGGUGAGUUCUGUAGGUAUAUCUGUAGUCCCUCUGCAGCAUCUAAGUUUGGGUGUCUAAUCUCUCCUUAUAACACUGAUACAGUUAGCUAGGGCUGAAUCUAGCCUUUAGGCUGUGUCCUGAACUCUCUUUUCUCUCAAAGUCAAAUAUUAUUUUUAGCUUUUAUUGACCUGACCAUCUGACUCCACUCAGCAUUUGUUUCUGGUCAAAUGCACUGCUCCCCAUCUAGGUCUGAACUGACUUACCAAAGAAGUUGUGUUCUUCAGGCAUGAAAUGGGUUUUUAUUACUGAGGUCCACAGUGCAGAUCAUUGGAAGUUACGUAAUAAUAUGAAAGGACAUAUAAUUGAAAGGCUGUCAGAAGAUAAAAGGGUAUCAACUUCCCAGAGCAUUCACAUUGCAACUCCUGAAGCUGGCUGACAUUGAAAGAGUGAUUCACUGUUCAGUGCUGGCCCCUCUGGUAGCAGCUCUGCUCCUCCUCACUGCUGCCUGUUGAAAUAUCACAGUCUGCAGCAUGGAAUUUAAUACAGGAGUUUUCCAUUAAAGACAUUAGCUGCUGCAUUUCUCAGUUACUUCUGGCUCAACUCACCUGCUGGGGACACAGUACCUUGUCCUUGAAUAGGCAGGACUGCCUUCAUUCUACUCUUCCCACUGGAGCAGCGAGAAGUAGAGUGUGAGUAUGUACUGAGCAAUGCACAACAAGUGAGUAACUGCAAUACAGGCAUACAUUAUUCUUAGAUUUGUUUUAAAUGUCAAGCAAUAAUACGUAGGAAGUAAAAGUAAGUCUUUAACUAUCCUGACAUUCUCCUAAAUGUAAAAAACCAUAAGAGGUGCCUGUAUUUACUACAAAUAAUAAAACUGGAGCGUUACACUAAUCAAAUUCAAAUCAGUUCAACUGCAUAAUUUUCAGUGAAUAGGUGCUUAUAAAACACAGAAUGAACUCCAGAAGGGAAGGUUCAUUGCUUCCUAAUCAAAAGCAGUCAGCUUUAAACACCAGCCAGUCAGGUGAUAGGUUUGUCAUUUCUCAGCUCUGCUCUUGGAGGGAAUUUGCCAAGAAGGCUUGACAGCCUUUAAACUUCGCAGAGCAUUUUUUGCCUGUUUUUGAACAUCAUGUUGAGCUACAGAAAACUCCUGGGAGACUGGGAGGAGAGGCAGAAUAACAGCAGUUCUAUUAAAAUAUAUUUGCUGCAAUGAAUGUCAAGCAGAUUUUAUGGUGCAAAAAACCAAUUCCUGAAAAGAAAUUUUGACGCCCCCCUCAGGUCUGAUUCUUUCUUGUCUAAUGGUGUCCAGCUACUUUGGGGACUGAGGAGUGUCAGUGAUUAAUUGUCUGGGUGUCAAAGAAAUAAAGGCUCAUAAUGCAUCAUUAAAAGCUAGAAAUCAGGGUGUCUGAACUAUCAUGGGAAGUUUAAAAUUAAUAUAUUACCUCUAUGUACAAUUAACAGUCCCAAGUCAGAAAUCAUUUGCUUUUAUAAUUUAGAACAAUGGCAGCUCUCCAGUGAAAACGUAUUUACAGUAGUUUUACAAUGCUUUCUAGAGGCUUAGUACAAAAGGGAGAGACAAAAAUUAAUAUGCAGCAAGGCAGUUAAAGAGAAACCUGUCUUUGAACUGUUCUUUCAUUUUAAUCAGCAUGAGCUCUGCUAAGUAGGGAAAAGAAUUAUGAGUAGGAGGCUAGCAUCUAGGUUACUGAGGGCAAAUCACUCUCAGGGGAAUAAGUUUGCAAUCUGAGCAACAGUCUGAGCUGUGCAUGACUUGGGAUGAACAAGUCUUCUCUGUUUUAACCCAGCGUCAACAUCAAUUGCAAGGUGGCCAACCUCAACCAAAUUCCCCAACAUGAAGGUCUGUUCUCCCCUCCAAUGGCAAUUGUAACACUGUGCUAGAAGAAUUUUUCACUGUCUUUUAUUUCUAUUUUCCAAUGUCUUUCUAAUGUCAUUCUAGUGUUUUCUAUUUCACAUCCUCAGCUUUGGGACCUCAUACAUGUUUUAGUAAUUUUUGGUAUUGGUUUGAGUUCCAUUAAGCUUCUUAAAUUCUUAAAUAGCUUCUUGGAGGGAUUUUGUUGGAUUUUUUUUCCUGUAGCUUAGGUUAUAAAAGUAGCACCAUAAACAUUAACUGAAGAGCCAUUAAGCAGUAGGGCUGUUUGUUUUGGGUUGAUAGAGGACAUAAAACUUCAUACCCUGUGGUGGAAAACAAUUAGAUCUGAUGAUGAACAUGCUAUUAAAUAUACCAUUACCAGACUUCUAUCAGUUUAACUUUAGAAAAUAACAACCAGCUGUAGUCAAAGCAUACACAAAGGAUAGAAAGUCAUAUUUUAAUUGUCAUGUCAUAGCCUGUUAUAAAUAUUGUCAUUUUUAAUGUUUUAUGCUAAUGACAGUGACUAAUAGUAGUCAUUACCUCUGUUCAUUUUCAUAAAAAUUUCCUCUAGAGAAUAUGAUCACAGCUAGAGUGCUGUUUAAAAUUAAUUUUUUUUUUCUAAAAUAGGUAACAUAAAAAUAUUUAAAUACCGACAGGUUUGUUGACUAUUUAAUUUUGUAAUAGCAUGUGUUCGGCAACUCGAGCUUUUGUUAAUUGUGCCAUAAGUUGAACAGAUAUCCCUUUCAGAAAUAUUUUUGGCAUGCGAGCAUGUGUCAUGUCUCUGGUCUCUGAACAGUGGAAUAAAAGGUGAAUCUUACAGAAGCCAUAAAAAAAGUCUGAUGCUACCCCUGUAGAGGAUUAAUAUUAAGAACAUUGAAUUUUCUCAUCCAUUUCUUAUUUCAGUUAUGAAUUCUGCUUACUUGACAGGUACAGAGUACUUCAUUAUGUGCACGAACAGAAAUGCUUAAAUGGAUGAAGCAGCUAUUUACGUCUGAUAGGAGCUAAGUGGGACAUUAAAUUAAUGCCAAACAAGUUUGAGAGGGAAGGAAUUUCACAGAAUCACAGAGACCACAGUGAAUCACCUGAUCCCACUUCCCUUCUCAAGAAAGUCCAUCCUAGAGCACAUUGCACAGGCUUGUGUCCAGACAAUUCUUUAAUAUCUCUAGUGAGGGAGGCUCCACAAGCUCUCUGGACUAUCUAUUCCGGUGCUGAGUCACUGCAAAGUGUUUAAAGAUUUAAAAGAUUAAAGAAGUUCUUCCUCAUACUCAGGUGGAAUUUCCUGUGCAUCAGUUUCUGCCCAUUGUGUCUUGUCCUAUUGCUUGGUGCCACUGAGCACAGCCUGGAAACCUCCUCUUGACACCCAUCCUUUAGAUACUCAUACACAUUGAUGAGUUCCCCUCUCAGUCACCUCUUCUCGAGGCUCAACUGGCCCACCUCCCUCAGCCUUUCCUUGUAAGAGAGAUGCUCCAAUCCCUUAAUCAUCUUUGUUCCCCUCCACUGGACCCACUCCAGGAGCUCCGUGUCUCUACUGUAUGAAGAGCCCAGAACUGGACACAGCACUCCAGAUGUGCCUCACCAGGGCUGAGCAGAGGGGCAGGAUCCCCUCCCUCAGUCUGCUGGCAAUGCGCUUCCUGACGUACCCCAAGAUACCAUCGGCGUUCUGUGUCACAAGGGUACACUGCCAGCUCAAUUUGUGUCUUUUGGACAAUAACAAAGAAAGCAAGAGGAUUGCCAGAAAAAUAAGUCUGCUUUUUAAAGAUACCACCAAGUCUUUGAUGUAAUUUUUAAUAGUUACUUUGCAAUCACACCAAAUAAUAUUAUGCUCAGAGGAUAUAGACAAAAUAGUGGGAUAUUUCAUCCACAGCAAUACUACUGGAGCAAAUUCUUCUGGGUUUAAAAUCAGAACUUUAUUGCACUAUUGCCAAGAGAGUGAUAGUAAUUUGAAUAGUCUAAAAAUUUGUUCCAGUUUGAAGAAAGCCAAGAUUUAGCACAGUGUUAGUAGAUUAACUCCACAGAGCUCUCCUAACUGUGCAUGAAAACUUCAGUCGCAAGUUUUGAGCACAGGUUAAGUUGACUUCUGUGUUUUGCUUUCCUCCAGAUUAUUUUAUAAAUCUCAGGAUCUGUAAGAAAAACUUACCUUCAAAAUACCUAUCAGUGUAUUUUCUGGAGUUUUAUCAGCUAAAGAAAUGCUAAUUCUAAUCCUAGCUUUUAAAUAUAUUAAAUUAUAAUCUAUAAAAAUAUAUAUUUUAAUAAUAAACGUAUUGCAAUAUUUUGCAUAAGCUACAAUAUUAUUUAAUAAAGUCUUUAAAGCAAUACUCAAUAUUCAACUGCCUUUAAAACAACACUUCAAUUCCUUUUAUUUAGAUAUGUAGUUCUUUUUAUUCAAUAAUAGUGCAUGUGUUAUUUGUUCAGUAAGUGUUUGGUAUGAAUCUCAUCAUAAUGGAAAUAUGGAAUUUGAGAUCUUUUUAGCAUAAGAAACACUUAAACAGUUUCUGUUAUCACUUGACAGAAAGAGAUUAAGUCCCAGAGAUUUAUAUUUGUAUAACGAAUUAUUGUCUCAUCUAAACCACAGAAUCAGUAGGUUGGAAGAGACUUUCAAGAUCAUCAAGUCCAACCCAUGCCCCAACACCUCAACUAAACCAUGGCACCGAGUGCCACAUCUGGAUACACUGAAACACUCCACAAGUGGCUCAGCUGAGGAAAGAACAGUACAUAUUUUACUUUGUGAUAUUGAACCACAGUGCAGAUAUUAAGAGAUCAAAGACAAUCAGGUGAAGGAGUAAGCAUGCCAAAAUAAUACCCUGGUUUCAGCAUCACGUCUGCUUUUGGAGUGUUUAAAACAAAGAUGUGAAAAUUUGAUUUACAUAAACAUUUUUAGUCAAUGGAGCUACCAUUUCAGAAUUAGUAUUUUUCAUUUGAUUCACACAUGUAUAAUACAUUCCACUGCUGUUUUAAAAAAAGUAAUCUUACCAUCAUCUGAGUUUUUAAGGAAAAGACUAAGGACUCAAACAAGGUCAUGCAAUGCUAGCUGAGAGGAAUAUACAUGAGUUGCAUAGACCAAAGAGGAAUAAAGAGACUGCAUUGAUGGGGGCAGAGGGAGAGAGAUCACGAAUCAUUAACUAUGGCUUUAUGCUUCACGUCUCUCUACAGUGGGUUUAACCCUAUUAACUGAUUUCCAUUCAUUCUGUCAUUUCCAUGGAAUAAGAUCCUAAGUCUUCUCCAGGUGAGAAAUGAAUACUAUGCAAUCCAAUAACUUUUGUACCUAUUGUUAGCAUACAUAAGGCACAUCAGUGGCACCAAUGUUUAUUCUUAACAUGUGAAGUAAUCACCAAAUUUCACAACUCUGGCAGUGUUCACUCCUGUAAAAGUGAUGAGAUAUUUCUAAAGCCUUCUAGUGAGAGAAUAAACCAAUGGGUUUUAUCCAUGUUUUGCAGGUCACUGGACGUUCAAAACAGCAAAGCAAAUUAAAAGAACCACUUUACUUUUUCUAUCACAGUAAUUUUGCACUUGAGUAUAUGAGCAUUUGCUAAUAUAAAAGCUAUUGGGGAAGAUAUGAAGGGAACUUCUAACACUGCCUUAUAAGGUAGAAAAUAAAUGUUGCAUUUCAAAUCCAGCUCUCCUUGAAAUUUAUUUCAUUUUAAAAGGCAUCUUGAGCACCAGAUUUUUGUCUCUGGAGACUUAAAAUCAAACAAAUCCACUUAAAUUGAAAACAGAGUUUUCUAAUUAUCAUGCUGUAACCUCAGCCUGAAGAUCAAGUAGCUACAUUUUGAUUUAUGUCUCAUCACUACUAUUGAUAUUUCUUCAGGCCAUAAAAUUUUUAUCCCUUGUCCUUCUACUCUUCAUGGUCUUCCUCAGUUGUUCCCUUCUGUUAUUGUUGCUGUUGUUAUUAUUAUCAUUAUUAUUACUAUGUUUCCUUGAAUAUUUUUCCAGAUAUUGUUUAGGUGCCUCCUUUUUUGGGAAUAAGUUAGCAAGUCUGUUAGUACUCUGUGCGCCUAUUUUUACUUCUCUACAAAUUUCCCAAAAGAAUAAAUAUUUCCUUAGACUCAAGAUGUGAAAUAAGGGGGGGGGGGGGAGAAAAAAAAAUUUUAUAUACUUUUCUGAACUUGAACACGGUUGUGGAGAAACUGGUGUGUGCUGCACCCUCCAUAAGUACUCUGAGAGAGCACAAGCUGCAGGAAUGGCUAACACAACUCAAGCAGAGUAAGAUGCUGCAGCAGCAAAUUAUUGGAAACUAUCAGUUCUUUCCUCAGGAGCUCUUGGGAUGGCAGACUAAGCAUGGAGAGUGUCCAUAGAGACUUCUUCUCUACUGUAUUCUAGCAAAACAAAUAUACAGGGUUGAAGUCACUGUGUAUUUCCAGAUUGUCCUCUGAGAGCUCUGAUAGCUGUGCUGAGUUGGCAGGGCCAAAAAUUGAACACAGCAGUCUCCAUAGAAUGCAUUUUAUUUCUUUGUAACCCACUCUGAUAAGAGAAAGGUCAGGUGUUUCCAUAUAUUCUCUGUAAACCUUCUUUGAAUUUAAUCCAUUGAAUGGGAUACCAAUUACACAGAAUGAUCCAAGCUUUUGGAUAAAAUGAUACCACUUCAUUCAUCCCAGUAAGUAAUACCAUUAUUCUACUUCUCCUGCUAUUUGAGAAAAUAGGACCAGUUUUUUGAAUGUCCCAUAUAAGAAGUGCAGCCUUUUCUGAUCACAGACAAAGCUGAGUAUUUUUAGUGGCUUUUCCCUUUUAAUUUCCAGUCUCCUGAAAGAGACUCCCCUCUCCUAUUAUGGUUUUUUGGGUUCCCUAACAUUUAUCAGUCCAAUUAGUGUUGUCAGCUUUUUUGCUUCUCUUCUGUCUGUCUGAUAAUGCAGAGAUAAUGCACAGGAUAUCUCCUGAGCAAAAUAAAAAUGUCUAGUUUGAACUUCCCUAUGCAAAAAUGUCUAAAAUUGGACAAUAACUUAACAACUGCAUUUCCAAAGUCUUGCACAGUGGACAUUUAAUUUUCCUUUAAACAAAUGUGUAACAUGAUGGGGGGUGUGGGUCAGAGACAGAGAUGGCACACACUCACACUCUCAAGUUCUCUUGACAAACAGCCUUGAGUUAUUCUCAAGCUCCUUCUAGAGGAGCUCCAGUUGCCCUGGGGAUUCAGUGAGGUCUUAGUCCCUCAGCUCCCUGACCAGUGAUACCUCUGCAUUUAGGGCUGAAUGACAUUUGGCUGAGGGUCCCUGUGUAGAUGUGAAUCCUACCUUUCCUUGCAGCAAUUCCUCCUUGCCCACCCAGGGACUCCAAUGCUACAGAAAUUGACUUCUUCUUCAAGGCCUCUUUUAGGAGCGGAUUUCCCACUGCUGAAACAGUAAACUCAGUUUUGUCUUUCAGAGACUCUUUGGAAUUGCCUCUCUCCCACAGAGCUGCAGUUUCCUGUCCUUUCUGUUACCUACCUUUGCUAAUCAUAGCUCAUGUGGAAUUGAUAUUUGUUCAGAGGUUUCUGCAACCUAAAAAUGCCAGUCUUCAUGGGACAUGGAGAAAAUUAAGAAAAUAAAACCAGUAAAUUGUGGUUACAAUCCUAAUCCAAGAUGGAAAUUCAAUCCACGCAUUUUCAUCUUCCUGCAAAAUAUAUUUAAUACUCAUCUCCAUAGUUAUAUUUGUAUUCUCUGUCUCCUCUAAUGUACUUCUAAACUUGUCAUUCUAAGAUAUAAAACCUUAUUGAACAUAGAUUGUACAGUAAAGACUUUCAAAAGAUAAUUACAAGUUCAAAGACUUCAGUUAGAGCAGCGGUUCCUCAGUAGAAGCAAAUGGAUCCUCUUAGUCACUAGGUAAAUGCACAAAGAAAGUUAGGCUGGGAUCUCAAGAUGGAAGUUGGAAACGCAAAGCAAGAUGGAGUACUUUUGUUCUCUGAAAAAUAAAAAGCUGUGUGUCUUGGAGGCUGCCUAGCAGGGAUAACUGAAAUUUAGGCAAGGAACAAGGAUAUUGUGCUUACCCUGCAGUGCUUGCAUAGAAAUUACCCAUAAAGACCCAAAGAGUACAAGGUGCUUCAAAAUAGGUGAGAACGCAGAUUUAAAGGCAUGACUUGGAGCAGAUCCUGAAAACUCCUGUGCCCAGACAUGAGCAGAAAGCUGGAUGUUAGCACAGGUUGUUUCCUUGCCAGGGCAACAGAUUUUACACUCUCUAUAGCUUUAACAGCAAACUUACAUGAAGUUAAAGCCUUAAAGUUGAACCCAGAUUUUGGCUUAUUUGUUUCCUUUUAAGCUGUAGUAGAGAAAAGACUGGCAAUGCCUGCAUCAUUUUCCAUAGUAUUGAAACAGGCAACAAAUUAUCAGUGUUAAUAUAAAUAAGAAAUAACACAGGUUGGAAUCAUACUCUUCUAUGGGUUAAAAACUAAAAUGAUCAGCAUGAAGCACCCUCAUCUCUCAGUAAAUGGAGCACAGAUAAAGGCUGCAUGUGUUGGCUCCAGGCUCUGUAAUCAUCUUCCACUUGAGCAUGGGCGGUUGGUGAAAUAAGCAGUUACACUGAUAAACAUAGGACCUCUCUCAGAUUGGGCUAUGGACCUAGAAAGAGGUGGCCUGGUGGAUAAGCAGUGCCAAAUCUAAGCUGAGGUUACAAACAUAGUGAUAAGUUACCCAAGAGGAAGAACUGCCAACAGAGGAAGUUCAUCCCCAGUCUCAGAAAUCCAAUCUAAUUUUUGUCUCAAAGGGGAAGAAUUUACAACUUGUUUGGGGGUUUUUUUAAUAAGAUAUCACACGCUCUAGAAUUUUUCUCUGUGUUAAAUGUACAGAGCAGAAUUCAACAUUAGGAUUCCUCUAGAAGACUAAAGUGGUGUUUGCCAUGUUCAUUCUUACUGAGGGAUUAUGGAGUCAUGUUUUCACCAGAAUUAUGGUUGUUCACAUUGCAUGUAAACACAUAUUUUUGAAAUGUUUUGAAGCAUUUCAGUUCAGUGCUUGCUAGGAAUUGGGCAUAGUGAUUUGUUCAAGCUCAUUUGGCAUUUUUUUUCAAAAAGUUGGUUUUCUCUGAGUUUUUCUGCUCUUGCUUGUUUCUAAAUUAAAUUAAUAACAAAAUUUUCAUCUACGGGGACCACUGACAAUUUACCCACUAGAAUUUUCAAGUAUUUUAGGUGCAGAUUUAAGCAGACUAUUGGGCUAUAAAUCAAUCUAAUAUUGUAAUUGCCCUUCACAUUCAGCUGUUUAUUGUUUCUUGGAUAUCAGUUACACAUCAAGCAGAUGUUUCUUUUAGAGAUGGACACAAUGGCUUCUAGAUAUUUUCUAUUAAUCCAAUGAAUUUAAAAGCAAGGAAUAAAAAAUUGGUAUCCAGAGUUCUGAAGUACAUCUUUCUGCAUUUUGUCAAAAUGCAUGUUGCAUAUUGGUUUAUUUCUCGGUGGCCCCUUUUAACAUAAUCUCUGAGAUGUCUUGUCUUUUCAGUUCUAUCCUACUUACAUAUUUAUCGACUUCCUAUUUUGACAUCUCACUUUGAGUCAUAAUCUUAUAUUCUAAUUAAAGUAUAUUCAGCAUCAAUCUUUAUAUGAAUACCAGGUGGUGGAAUAUUAGCACUUUAUUAUGGCUUUACAAUUAUUCCAAUUGCUUUUUAUCAUAAUCUCAUCCAGACUUUUUAACUUCUCCCAACUGAGCCUGGUCCAAAGAGAUACUUAAGAUAUGACAAUAUUGACACAGAGUGCAAGAUUUUUUGUAAUGACUGGUUGUUUUAUUGGUAGGUGAAUGGAAAAUAUUUUGAAUAUUUGGGUAUUCACUCUGAGUUUGUCUGUGAAAUCAGGAAGAAUUAUCUCUGCAGAGAACCUCACAAGAGGGUGCAAGGACUGUGAGCCUUUUGCAGGCUCUUCUAACGCAUUAUAUAAUGACAACACUGAAAAAAUUAUCCUGAAUUAAAUACAAAAAUGUAACCUAUGUUCUCUGUGUUUUCUGUGUAUCUGCUGUUCUUGUGCUCCAGAUCUCUUUCUCAGAAUUUCUACUUGCCCUAUGUCCCAGAAAUAUUUUCUGUAAUAUUGUAUUAUGUUUAGCAUUACCAUAAAUAUACUUCUGAGUAAAACCCACUUAUUUUGUAAAUAUUUAUGAAUUGUUGAAAAUCAUUCAGCUCAUCCCAGUAUCUGUGGAUUCAGCUGGAAGAAUGAGGUAAGCAUAACAUUACAGUGGUAAAUAAUUCACUUAAGGAAUACAAUGUAUAUGCUUCAGAGGUACAGGUACCUCAGUAGAAUCCUGCAUGUUUCUGUCCUUUCAACAAAAGGGGCAGGUAUUUCCAUCACAUGGAAAUUGGUUGGCACAACUAGUUCUCUGUGAGAAUUAGAAAAAGGGACAGCAUAACUGAUUUUGUCAAGGGCAAAAGGAGAGUGAAGGGCAGUACAACAAACAUAUAUUUUUUUUAUAUAUAUAUAUAUAUAUAUAUAUAUGCAUAUAAUUUAAAAUAUUUGAAUGAUCCUUAUCCUAGCAAAGGACGGUUAAGAGUGAUAAAUGUAAUAACUGUGAAAAAUAAACAUGAGAACUCAUUUAAGCUUUUUACUAAAACCGCAAAAGUUUGACUUACCAUAAGCUAUAAAAUAUGUCAUUAAAUCAUUAGCCUUUACAAAUUGCCUGUUGUGGUUUCUGAGAUACUCCUUUCUCUCCCACUACUCUGGUUAAUUGUGUCCAACUCCAGGAAGUGAUACCUGUAAGCAAGUUCCAAUGUCAGACAGACAAAGAAAGUAAAAUAUGAAGUCAUAUUGUACGGCAGUGAGAAAUCCUGUUCACCUCAGCAGGUCUCAUCAUAGGUGCAUAGGUGGUAAGAUCUGUCUCUAAAAUGAUGCUGUGCUAAAUAUGAGGUACAGCAGACAUUUAAUAAAUGGGCUACAUCAAGUCAGUUCAAAGAUCUUCUGUAGAGUAUAGUCUAUGUAGCAAUAAAAAUCUCCACAAUUUUUAUUAAUUCCAUUAAAGUAGCACGCUACCUCCAAAUAUUUAUAGAGAUCAAGCAGACUCACUUCAGGACAAGUCCUUCAUACAUACCAGAGGGACCUUUCCUGAAAUGUAAACAGUUGGCAUCUGCUGAACUGUAAUCCCUAAAUCAGAAACACAAAUGUUUGGAUUAACAAAAAAUGGAAAGCCUCAUUCUUUAUUGCUGACCUCCCAGUACAUAUUUUUUCACUUUCAGUGUUGUGUGCAUGACCAGCAUUCUUUAUUCAGGACUGGAAAUGCAGUGAAUUUCUGGCAUAGUCACCACAAAGGACAGUGGUGAUUACAUUCAAGCAAGCACAAACCCUCAGUGAUGCUCACUGACUUCAGAAGAUUUGAAAUCAAGCCAUGAGUUCAACGGUGCACACGUGAUUCAGUAUGAAGCAACUGAGAUUUGACACCCUUAAGAAUCAGAUAAAUAAAAGGAUAUUUAUUUUACCCCUUUUAAAGAGUAUAUUGAUCUGAGAAGGGAGGAACUUGAGGAAAUAUAAAAUACAAGCUUGUGAGUACCAUCAUUGAAGUCCAUUUGGUUUUAUACACAGAGAGUUUUAGCAUCCCACUACACCAGGGACUGUAUUCAAUAACUGUUAAAUGAAAACAUUUAACAGACCUGGAAUUGCUGUCUGUCAUAUGUACAUGCAUAUAUAUGUAAUAUAUAUGUAAUACAGAAUGAAUAUCCCAUUGUAUAAACUAAAGCUAUGAAUAAUAAAUAAUGAACAAACUGCUUUAAUUGGAAUGCUGAGGGAAUGAAAUUUGAAAUUUUUUUCCAAAGUAAUUUAUUUUUGAAUAUUUUUGAAAUGGUGGUGUCUUUUCCUUGAAGAGAUUAAAUACACAGCAAUUGAAAAGCAGUGAAAAGUUGAAGAACGAGAAUGAAGUUCUAGGUGUUGGUGCUGAGAGCCAGGGGCAAAGCAGUGAUCUUGGAAUGUCUGCCUUUUCUGGUUUGUGCUGUGGCUUUAGGCUUUAUGGAUCCCAGUAGGACGAGCCAUGAUCAAGCUGGGGUUUCAUGGAUUUCAGUCUUUUACUCUUCCCAAGCCACACUCCAGCCACUGCUUCCAGCCUUAUAGCAGUCUCCAAAAGUUGGUGGAGCUUUUGCAGAUCCAUAGCAGGAGGUGAAAGAUCUAAGUGCUCCAGGCCAGCCGACCUGGUGAGGGGCUUCUCUGCAGCUCUGCUGCUCAGGGGAGUGGAUUGGUAUCUGCUCAUUGGAGCUGGCAGUGCCAUCUCUGAACCAGCUCCUCUUUGGAGCUUGAGGCACUCACCAGCUGUUGCCUUUGGCAAGGUGACAGGGAAGCAGUCACAUUUCCUCUGAAUUCUGCCUAGCAUUACACACACUUGUGACAGGUACUUAGUGUACACUCAUUUUUUUCCUUUUGGAUUUCACAAAUCUAUUUGGGAAGUAAAUUUUAAGUAAGUUUAAAAGAAGACUGGAAUUGUCUACAUUAAAAAAGUUUGAUGCCUUGAAACUGCUACAAAACAAUAAAAAAUAAAAUCCAUAAAAUACCCCUAAGUACAAUUUUAAUUGUUUCAAUAAGUUCUUUCAAGUUGCAUUUCCAUGUUAUUAAUUUCUGGACAGUAGACUUCAUUAUACUGUGUAAGAAAAGGGGAAGGCUUUCAAAUAAGGUUGCAUAUUGAAUUUUAGGUCUGUGCAUUAGAAUUUUCAUAUGACUUCAAAAUUAUCAAAAUAAUUACUUCUUGUCUAUGCAAACAUGAAGGGUUUGUCUUCAUUCCCACUCCGACAUAACAAAUCCAAAAUUCUUGGCAGUAUAAAAAUGUGCCCUGAAACCUAUUGUCAAUAUUCACCUGUUUCCCUUUUCAUAAGAGAAUGUGAUUUUACCAGACAUCUAUCCAGCUACCAGAAAAGCUGAUUCCUAUGGGAUACAUACAUGGUUAAUGUCUUAAGAGACUCAGCUCUUAAUUUUUGAGAAAACUGUACAACAUUUCAAAAAAACCCAGACUUUAAAAAGCAGAAAAGAAACCAGAAGGGGGAAAAAAAUGAAAAAUAAGAAAAACCUUAAUGUUACAAUCCAUUGAUAAAAUUAAAUUAGUUACCAUGGAUUUAGCUUAGCUUAGGUAAAAUAUUUGGGGACACAAAAAAUAUUUCAUAAACACAAUGAGAUCUUCUGUCACAUAAAAUCCUUAUCCUUUCUUCAAGGGCCUGUCAAGAAAACUAGGUUUACCACCUAAAUUUUAUUUUUCAAAGUAAAAGAUAGAAUGUUCUGAAAAUCAAGCUGUCACUAGUUAAUGCUGUCAAAAUAACAUGUCAAUUUUACACACUUGUUCAAUUGUACUUCAUUUUUUCUUCCUCCUCAUUUUAAAUGAUGUUUGUUCAUUUCUUAUUCUCUGGGCCCUUUCUUCAGAGUCCCAAGGAAACAAAACAUAAAAUCAAUGAUGCCAAAGUUUAUGUAGGCUUAAUAUUGGGAUGAAGAAUGAAGGUGCCUGAUCCUGCUGUCAAUAAAAUGUAUUUGUGUAGUUCUCCAUGUAGCACUUUGAAUAGGAUGAGUGACAGCAAUCUCAGUCUGAGAAGAGGAAGAGCCUUAUGGCCCUACUGUAUGCUUGGCUGUUUUUAGAAUAGCCCAAAACAAACCAUUCAUGAUCCUUAAAGAGAUUCAGAUUACCACAUGGAGACAGGCAAAGUAGCCAUGCACAGUGCUGAGGAGUUCCAGGCUUUUUUCCAUGUACUGCCCUGCUAGGAGAGCAUGCCAAGGAUUGCAGUUGAUCAAGAAAGAGGAGAAAUGUUUCCUCCAAGGAAUCUUUGGAUUCAGCAGGAAGUUCUCAUGGUUCCUGUAGUCACUUGGGGUUAGAUUAUGGUAAUUAGUUGAUUCAUCUAGUCUUUAGUGCCUCCAAUAAGAAUGUCCUCCAAGGCAACCACAGGCAGAAGGGGACAUCUGAUGUGCCACACCAUUAGGUCAAAUAUGUAGACACUAGAAAAGGUUGUAAAUUGAUGUUCCGGUCGCUUUGUGUGUGUGUGCAUUGCAUGGAUAACCACAUGUGUAUCCAUAGGGAUGCUAGAUCCCUGAAAGGAUCUUGAAUUACUUGUUUUGGCUUUGUUACUUCCUUUUGAUACUGUGCUGUCUGUAUGAAUUGAAAGUGAGAAAGGAGUUAAUACCAUAUCUGUUCAUCGUAAACCCUUCCUGACUGAUGACUUCCCUUCUCCUGGCAUCCAGCAUUGUAGCAGAAAGCAACUGGUAUAACCUGCAGCUACAGCUACUUCCAAAGUUCAGCUUCUUUUCCCUAAUACUGAUGUUCAGGCUCAGAAAAAAAAUGUUUCUGAGGAAAAGUUAUACAUGCAACUUCAGGCUGUUGCUUCUCUGGGUGAUACUUACCUGUUUUUCCUACAGAGAAUCAUGUGAAUUGUUACCUAUCCUUUCAUCCCCAUGUUCAUCUCUUAAUAUUUGUCAGUAUAAGACACACCAUUUAAAAGAAAUUUUCUGCCCAGACUGGGCAAUUUCCUUGUUACAACAAUACUUUUUUUUUUUCUUAUUUUGUCUUGUGGUUUCGUAAGUGUUAACAGAUUCUUACCCAGUGCUUUUUGAAAUGCUUACUGAUCCGCACAGACAGAAAAGGUAAACAACAGCUAAGCAAUUGGUCUGACAGAUAGUGCAGUCCCUCAGGAGGCAUUAAUAACAUCCACACCAACACUGAGUUAUUCUCUCUCAGGAGCACCAUUAGCAGAUAUUUCAUCACCACUGUGCCUGUAAUUCUGCAGCACCAGUCCCAAGGCUGGCCAGUUCUCCUCAGCAAAGGUCAAACUGUAGGCAAAACCACUUCACUGUUAAAAAAAAAAAGUAGAAACCAGCCUAAAGUGUUAAACUUCCAUUAGUAUGGACACUUACAGAAAAAAUAAUUAAACUGUGAACACAAGGGAGUAGUGCAUUGACUUAUUUUUAAUUGUAUACAAAGGGACAGCUUGCAUCUAAUUUUUUGUUUAGAUUAAUAAUUCAUUUUGGUUUAAGUAUGUUUUGGUCCUGAGUUAUUAAAAAAAAUAGUGGUUUUGAGAAGAACACAGUGUCAUUAUAAAUGUAAGUUGGGUAUGAACUAUGAAUGGGAUGCUAUUUGAUGACAAAUGUAAUCUUGGUGAGAGUAAAUAGGUGAAUAGUAUUCAGAAAUUGGCAGGUUUUUCACAUUUGUCAAAUUUACUGGAAAACCAUGCACCUUUAUGGUUUGUUGAAAAAGGUAUGGUAAGUCAAAAAUAGAUACAUAAAAUAAUUCUGAAAAUAAAUUUAAAAAAACAAGAAAAUGUACCAGUAGUGAAAUACUAAAUAAAUUCUUAGCUAUUAAAUCAGUUGAGAAAAGACUGAGAAGUAACUUGACUACAGCCUUCAGGUACCUACAGGCAAAAAGUAUUCCUGACAGUAAAGAACCCUCUCAUUUAGGAGGAAGGAAUGUGUAAUUAACUGGAGCCAAGAAUUCCAGUCUGUUCCCCCAUCACCAAAUUAACAAUGAGAGCUUUCAACCAUUAGAGCCAUCUGGGUCUCCUAGAAAGAUAUGCUACAUCUCAUUCAGAAACUGCAGAGGAUGAUAGAUAACAUUUUGGGACCACACAGGAGGUUAGACUAGACCAUAAUGCAUCGUUUCUUCUGCCCUUAAUAUCUAUUUCUGAAUCUAAAUAAAAAGGGAAUAAGGUUAACAGAAUCUGGCCCUCAGUCAUAUAUAUUUUAUCAUUUAAUUGCAUUUCCAUUUGAGGAUUAUAAUUCAGUUCUAUUAUGACUUCAUCUCUGAAAUUUUUCUACAGGAUACCAGAAAUAGAGUAUUUCUUAUUCUCAUAAUUAAACUUUCAACCAAAUAAAAGUUCUUCAGCUUGUGACUCUGAAUUAGCAUGUGAAAAAUUUAAACAAAUAUAAUUUUAGCUUCUUUGUUAUGAAUAAACAGAGCAAUAGCAAUCAUAUAGCACAACAAAGUGUUAAUAUCUGUUACAGCCCUUGAGCUAUACAAAUGUGUGGUUUUGUUAUGAACAUGCUUGAUAUGCUAUGCCUUGACUAGAUCUUAUUUCGUUCUGUUUCUACAGGUUAGUGAGACUUUAAUCAAGAAAAAAAAAUCUAAUGAACAGUAAUUUGAAACACAGCAUUUGGAAAGGUCAGAAUGGUACAUUACAUCCUUAUUAUCCAAAAGAACAGAUGAGUUUAAUAUCCUGGCAGCAUUUUCCUGUGAAGAAGAUAUUAAACAAGAAAUGAAAAUGGCACAAGGUUCUUGCUUCCUUUUCUAUGACAAAGAUUGUAACAAGAUGAUGGAACUACACAGAAUAAAUCCCUUUCUGCUUUAA
Passer domesticus (house sparrow) is the source of this 17700-nucleotide RNA transcript. It is a transcript of the gene named KH RNA binding domain containing, signal transduction associated 2, with no coding region annotated. The record is from RefSeq and is a predicted model, not a curated record. Lineage: Eukaryota; Metazoa; Chordata; Aves; Passeriformes; Passeridae. The transcript is spliced from 13 exons.